RNAcentral lists this Y RNA (102 nucleotides) under Microcebus murinus (gray mouse lemur). RNAcentral describes it as "Y RNA (ENSMICG00000047130.1)". It matches the Rfam family "Y RNA". Rfam says of the family: Y RNAs are components of the Ro ribonucleoprotein particle (Ro RNP), in association with Ro60 and La proteins. The Y RNAs and Ro60 and La proteins are well conserved, but the function of the Ro RNP is not known. Lineage: Eukaryota; Metazoa; Chordata; Mammalia; Primates; Cheirogaleidae. The record is from Rfam by way of RNAcentral.
GGUUGGUCUGAGUACAGUGAUAUUUAUCACUAAUUGAUCACAACCAGUUACACAUUUCUUUAUUCCUUCUCCAUUCCCAAUGCUUCAUGUCACUAGCCUUAA